RNAcentral lists this ribosomal RNA (452 nucleotides) under Diaphorobacter sp. SA_09. RNAcentral describes it as "bacterial SSU rRNA". It matches the Rfam family "Bacterial small subunit ribosomal RNA", at positions 60 to 509 of the family's 1533-position model. The record is from RNAcentral. Lineage: Bacteria; Pseudomonadati; Pseudomonadota; Betaproteobacteria; Burkholderiales; Comamonadaceae.
AGUCGAGCGGCAGCGCGGGGCAACCUGGCGGCGAGCGGCGAACGGGUGAGUAAUACAUCGGAACGUGCCCAGACGUGGGGGAUAACUACUCGAAAGAGUGGCUAAUACCGCAUACGAUCUAAGGAUGAAAGCGGGGGAUCGCAAGACCUCGCGCGUUUGGAGCGGCCGAUGGCAGAUUAGGUAGUUGGUGGGGUAAAGGCUUACCAAGCCCGCGAUCUGUAGCUGGUCUGAGAGGAUGAUCAGCCACACUGGGACUGAGACACGGCCCAGACUCCUACGGGAGGCAGCAGUGGGGAAUUUUGGACAAUGGGCGAAAGCCUGAUCCAGCCAUUCCGCGUGCAGGAUGAAGGCCCUCGGGUUGUAAACUGCUUUUGUACAGAACGAAAAAGCUCUUUCUAAUACAGAGAGUCCAUGACGGUACUGUAAGAAUAAGCACCGGCUAACUACGUGCC